UAUCUCUGUAGAGUCUGCAUAUCAAUAAGCGGAGGAAAAGAAACUAACAAGGAUUCCCUUAGUAACGGCGAGUGAAGCGGGAAGAGCUCAAAUUUGAAAUCUUCAAGGUUUCUACCUUGACGAAUUGUAGUUUAAAGAAGUGCUUUCUGUUGAAGUUUUGGUAAAAGUUCUUUGGAAUAGGACAUCAUAGAGGGUGAGAAUCCCGUAUUUGACCAUUAUUUUCAGCUGUGUGAUACACUUUCAAAGAGUCGGAUUGUUUGGGAAUGCAGUCCAAAAUGGGUGGUAAAUUUCAUCUAAAGCUAAAUAUUGGCGAGAGACCGAUAGCGAACAAGUACCGUGAGGGAAGGAUGAAAAGAACUUUGAAAAGAGAGUUAAACAGUACGUGAAAUUGUCAAAAGGGAAGCGUUUGACACCAGUGUUGUCUUUCCGAAAAUCAAUUAAGAAUGUUUUAUUUUUGAGGAGUUAUGACUUCAUCGGCUUGCUCCUUUCUUUAUGGAACUUUCUUAAUGCACUUUUCGGUUAACAAGUCAACAUCAAUUUCUUUUGUUGUAAAAGAGUAUUCGGAAGGUGGCUUUCUUUUCGGAGAAAGUGUUUAUAGCCCUAUACUUCUACAAUCGGAGAGAUUGAGGUCUGCAGCGUAGAUCCUUCGGGGUUAGAUACAUUUGUGCUAAGUUAUAGCUUUUCAUAGACAACUUGUUGACUAUGUUUAGUCUUGUAGCUUACUCGCUUAUGCUAUUUUACCUACGCUUAGGAUGUUGAGUAGCGACAUACGCAC
This 775-nucleotide ribosomal RNA is filed under the name uncultured Neocallimastigales. RNAcentral's name for it is "partial large subunit ribosomal RNA". It matches the Rfam family "Eukaryotic large subunit ribosomal RNA", at positions 24 to 649 of the family's 3401-position model. Lineage: Eukaryota; Fungi; Neocallimastigomycota; Neocallimastigomycetes; Neocallimastigales. The record is from RNAcentral.